UUAAUAAAAGUAUUCCGAGCUUACAAGUCUAAGGGUAACUAUGACUUCAAAGCCGAUGGGUAUAUAAAGAAAUUUAUGUGCCUCCCACGUUUGGAAAGGAUUAUAGACUUUUUACUC
Molecule: non-coding RNA, 117 nt
Filed under: Mollicutes bacterium
Lineage: Bacteria; Bacillati; Mycoplasmatota; Mollicutes
Also listed under: 1 other name
Description: MoCo sequence
Rfam family: Molybdenum/Tungsten riboswitch aptamer (Moco RNA motif)
Source: RNAcentral